RNAcentral lists this ribosomal RNA (370 nucleotides) under uncultured organism. RNAcentral's name for it is "bacterial SSU rRNA". It matches the Rfam family "Bacterial small subunit ribosomal RNA", at positions 526 to 896 of the family's 1533-position model. The record is from RNAcentral.
CGAAGGGGGCUAGCGUUGCUCGGAAUUACUGGGCGUAAAGGGCGCGUAGGCGGACAGUUUAGUCAGAGGUGAAAGCCCAGGGCUCAACCUUGGAAUUGCCUUUGAUACUGACUGUCUUGAGUUCGGGAGAGGUGAGUGGAAUGCCGAGUGUAGAGGUGAAAUUCGUAGAUAUUCGGCGGAACACCAGUGGCGAAGGCGACUCACUGGCCCGAUACUGACGCUGAGGCGCGAAAGCAUGGGGAGCAAACAGGAUUAGAUACCCUGGUAGUCCACGCUGUAAACGAUGAGUGCCAGUUGUCGGCAUGCAUGCAUGUCGGUGACGCAGCUAACGCAUUAAGCACUCCGCCUGGGGAGUACGGUCGCAAGAUUA